This is a long non-coding RNA of Panicum virgatum (switchgrass), 926 nucleotides long. RefSeq lists it as uncharacterized. The transcript is spliced from 3 exons. NCBI's taxonomy places the organism in Eukaryota, Viridiplantae, Streptophyta, Magnoliopsida, Poales, Poaceae. The record is from RefSeq and is a predicted model, not a curated record.
CCCUCCUUCCUAGCUGCUUGCAAGGGGACGAGGGUGCAAGGGCGCCACACGCCACGCACACGUACCACGCUCCGUCCUCAUCCGCCUCCCUCUCCGCUAGUUAGCCCGCGCGCAGCUCGUGUGUAGGCGGUGACGCGACCUCACCACGGAUCCACGGCUUCCUCCGCAGCACCGCCUCGCAGGACGCUGCCGAGUUCUUCGUCAACGACCUCCUCAAUGUCUGGGCCGACCUCGUCCCCUUCCGCCUGGGCUGCUCGGCCGCCGAAGAGGGCAACGAGGACAGCCGCGCCCCGGACCUCCCCUUCAUCCCUAGCGCUACCCUGCCCGGGAACCUACAACACGGCGGCGUCCGCGACGUUCAUGUCUCCGGCUCCUACAACGGGCUCCUGCUCCUCUGGUGCCCGAUCCACCACCCAGUGGGGGCACUGCGCCUGCAACCCGCACGUUCUGGAACGGGAGCUACUUCAGUAAAGCAUAGGUAUAUGCAUGGUGGUCACGGUGGCAGACACAGGAUUCAGAGAGUAAUCACAACACUCAGUUCUUACUUAGCAAGGUGAUUUAAAGGGUUAAAGAACUGCUAGUUAGAAUAGAAGAGAAGCCUCGCAGAGUAGAAAUCAUUGGUAGCCAAAUGUGCUGCCACAACACUCUCAUCAAAACUGAUAGGUGGUGCAAAAGAAUUCUUUGCUUCCUUAGUUGUUGCUGGUGGUUCAUACUCUUGAUGAAAUCUAUUUUUUGUUGUUUCUGGUGUAUUUUGUUGUCUAUGAUCCUGCAAUGCUAGACUGCUAGUUUUGAUACAUGGAAAAAAAUGUAUUGAUCCAUUAUUCUGGUGUCAUGAUGCUGGGAUGCUAACAUUAUUGAUAUGAGGUUAUAAUUUGGGUUGUAAUAGCUUAUUGUGACUUUUGGGCUGGAAUUUUUGUUUUGGUAAA